Molecule: ribosomal RNA, 1423 nt
Filed under: Enterococcus mundtii
Lineage: Bacteria; Bacillati; Bacillota; Bacilli; Lactobacillales; Enterococcaceae
Description: bacterial SSU rRNA
Rfam family: Bacterial small subunit ribosomal RNA
Source: RNAcentral
UGCAAGUCGAACGCUUCUUUUCCCACCGGAGCUUGCUCCACCGGGAAAAGAGGAGUGGCGAACGGGUGAGUAACACGUGGGUAACCUGCCCAUCAGAAGGGGAUAACACUUGGAAACAGGUGCUAAUACCGUAUAACAAUCGAAACCGCAUGGUUUCGUUUUGAAAGGCGCUUUACGGUGCCGCUGAUGGAUGGACCCGCGGUGCAUUAGCUAGUUGGUGAGGUAACGGCUCACCAAGGCCACGAUGCAUAGCCGACCUGAGAGGGUGAUCGGCCACAUUGGGACUGAGACACGGCCCAAACUCCUACGGGAGGCAGCAGUAGGGAAUCUUCGGCAAUGGACGAAAGUCUGACCGAGCAACGCCGCGUGAGUGAAGAAGGUUUUCGGAUCGUAAAACUCUGUUGUUAGAGAAGAACAAGGGUGAGAGUAACUGUUCACCCCUUGACGGUAUCUAACCAGAAAGCCACGGCUAACUACGUGCCAGCAGCCGCGGUAAUACGUAGGUGGCAAGCGUUGUCCGGAUUUAUUGGGCGUAAAGCGAGCGCAGGCGGUUUCUUAAGUCUGAUGUGAAAGCCCCCGGCUCAACCGGGGAGGGUCAUUGGAAACUGGGAGACUUGAGUGCAGAAGAGGAGAGUGGAAUUCCAUGUGUAGCGGUGAAAUGCGUAGAUAUAUGGAGGAACACCAGUGGCGAAGGCGGCUCUCUGGUCUGUAACUGACGCUGAGGCUCGAAAGCGUGGGGAGCAAACAGGAUUAGAUACCCUGGUAGUCCACGCCGUAAACGAUGAGUGCUAAGUGUUGGAGGGUUUCCGCCCUUCAGUGCUGCAGCUAACGCAUUAAGCACUCCGCCUGGGGAGUACGACCGCAAGGUUGAAACUCAAAGGAAUUGACGGGGGCCCGCACAAGCGGUGGAGCAUGUGGUUUAAUUCGAAGCAACGCGAAGAACCUUACCAGGUCUUGACAUCCUUUGACCACUCUAGAGAUAGAGCUUCCCCUUCGGGGGCAAAGUGACAGGUGGUGCAUGGUUGUCGUCAGCUCGUGUCGUGAGAUGUUGGGUUAAGUCCCGCAACGAGCGCAACCCUUAUUGUUAGUUGCCAUCAUUUAGUUGGGCACUCUAGCAAGACUGCCGGUGACAAACCGGAGGAAGGUGGGGAUGACGUCAAAUCAUCAUGCCCCUUAUGACCUGGGCUACACACGUGCUACAAUGGGAAGUACAACGAGUCGCGAAGUCGCGAGGCUAAGCUAAUCUCUUAAAGCUUCUCUCAGUUCGGAUUGUAGGCUGCAACUCGCCUACAUGAAGCCGGAAUCGCUAGUAAUCGCGGAUCAGCACGCCGCGGUGAAUACGUUCCCGGGCCUUGUACACACCGCCCGUCACACCACGAGAGUUUGUAACACCCGAAGUCGGUGAGGUAACCUUUUUGGAGCC